This 73-nucleotide transfer RNA is filed under the name Phycisphaerae bacterium. RNAcentral describes it as "tRNA-Glu". It matches the Rfam family "tRNA". Rfam says of the family: Transfer RNA (tRNA) molecules are approximately 80 nucleotides in length. Lineage: Bacteria; Pseudomonadati; Planctomycetota; Phycisphaerae. The record is from RNAcentral.
GCCCCCAUCGUCUAGAGGCCCAGGAUAUCAGGUUCUCAUCCUGAAGACAGGGGUUCGAAUCCCCUUGGGGGUA